Long non-coding RNA from Alligator mississippiensis (American alligator), 2984 nucleotides. RefSeq lists it as uncharacterized. The transcript has 4 exons. The record is from RefSeq and is a predicted model, not a curated record. Lineage: Eukaryota; Metazoa; Chordata; Crocodylia; Alligatoridae.
CAUAAACGUGGGGCCUGCGUCAGUACCCAGGGUCAGGGUCAGCAGGGGCCCAGCAUGAGGCAGCAGAAGUGCAGGCCUGGGCUGGCACAUGGGACUGAAGCAGCUGGCGGGGGAGUGCGGAGAGGUGACGGCAAGGAGUGGCAGUAACCAAUUAUCUCUAUUUACAUUCAUUCCUAUGGGCAAACAGGUUUCACUUAAGCAGAACCGCACUAAUGCUCAGUUUUUCUGGAACCCAUUACGAGCGCUAAACAGGAGUUGCCUGUACAAUCAUUUUUCAGCUGAUAUGAUCAUUUUGAGCUUCCAAUAUGAUGAUUUCAUGUUUAAGACCUGGCAGCAUUGAGGCAGCUGCUUCUCGCAAGCAGCCGUUCCAUCAGCCCAGCCCACACAUCCAGCCCGCUUGUCUCUUUUGACCCUCUACCCCAUUUUUCCUUUCUAUGCCCCUCAGGGUCCUUUUGGAGACCCCAGGAGAUUCCAUGGGGUCCUCUCCAGACCACUCCCUGGUUUGCCAGGUCUGCAUCCUUCCAUAUCCGCUUCCUCUUCUGUAAAGACAUCUGAGAUAACCAGGGCAAAAGCAGCUGGUUCAACUUGUUUCCAUCUCUCGUUCCUUGUUUCGCUUUGCCCUCUUCCCACCAGCCAUCCAAGCUCACCUGCCUUUGUUGAACAUGGGCCAGAUCUGUGAGCGCAAAACCUGGCCUGUGUUUCUGGAUGCUCUACUUCAAGAGAACAAAACCCCUGCCUGGUCAGAAUAUGAUGGGCCUGCACCACUAUCAAUUAGGUCUAGAAUCACUGUAGUCCAAACCGCUCAGAUGGAGUGCUCUCUCCUGCCACAACUUGCUGUUAUCACAAGUUCUUGUGAGCUGGAGGAAAUGGAAUGAUGGUAGGCCGAUCUUCUCAUGGGGCUCCAGCCUCCCCUUUGCCCCACCCUAAACACAUCAGAUGUACUUCAGCAGGUAUGUUUGGUGUCUCUGCCUCUCCUCAAUUUCUGUGGACUCUGCACAGCUCUUAGUUUGAAUGCAGGCUGAUUAUGAAGGGAUAACUCCACACAAAACUCAAAAUAAUGGCUGUUCCUGGGGCGCAAUCUCAAUCCCACACAAAAGAAAGAAAAUAUAACAGACUAACAAAACACAGUCCAGGGCCUCCUGCUGCCCUGAGGACAACGCUCCUGUACCUCUGGUACUCUUUUGGUACAAGUUCCCCAAAUCUCUGGUUAGUUCUUAUUUUCUCCUUUUUUCUUCAGGGGUCCAGUUCUCCUCCCCUUUGAUGCAGUUAGGUACGGGUUGUAACUGAGUCCUUAAUACAGCCCGAGGAGGAAAAUCUCACUCAAAAAUGGGUUAAUUAAGCAUCACAAAUACUUAAUUAACCUGAUGCGGCCAGGAGAACCCCUGAUCACCUGAUGGCGGACUACAGUGCUCUGGGUGGCGUGCUGAAGGAGUUUGGUGCGCAGGUGGUUUUCUCUUCCAUCCUACCAGUGACCAGACGAGGAAGACGGCAGGAGAACUGCAUCAGAGAGACCAACUGGCGGCUUCGGCAGUGGUGUCUCGAGGCAGGCUUCGGAUUCCUGGACAAUGACCCGCACAUCACGACGAGGGACGUGCUCAGCUGGGAUGGGCUUCACCUGUCCCCCAAAGGGCUGUCCAACUUACAAGUACAGGCUGAACCAGUGGGGCUACAGGCCCUGCAGGAUGCCCCAAGAUCUGAAGAGACCUUCAACUGUGGCAAGUGUGAACAGUGGUAAGACUGCAGAGAUGCAAAGCAACCCAUAUCCACCUUCCCAACCUCACCAAAAGCCUGAGUCUUGUUAGAAAGGAAAGUGGCUGGAGCAACUGCAGAAUGUGCCAGUCUGGAACUCCCAGCCACACUGUGUUGAAGCGUGCUGUGUACUGGAUAUUGCUUUCCACUCAGAAAGACUCUGUGUCUACAGUAACAUGAUUCAUGUUUGUAAAUACAGUACAGUGAAACCUCUCUUAAAUAACUACUCAAGGGACCCACAAAAGUCAGCUGGCAAAUGGAAGUGGUCUUUAACCAAAGGACAAACAAAAUUUGUCCGAAACCAGGGGGUACUUUAAAACACUUAGAGUGUGACUAAGUGGUUGGAACAGCACCUUCUCAGUCAUCAGAUUUUCUCUGCAUGUAUUUGCCAGGUCAUAUCUUCUUGCUUUGACAAACAUAUUCACCUUACUGAUUUUUACUUCUGUUAUCAUUGCAGAGCUAAUGCAGCAAUGGGACCAUUUUCUGGAAUCUUUUUGUCUUAAGUGCUACCCACAGAAUAGUUCUAAUAGCAAAAUCUUUCUUGUUGCUUAUGUCAAAGACAAAAAGAACACAAGUUAUUUUUUGAGGUCUAAGAUUUAAAUAUUUCUUCAGCUGAUGUGGACUGCAGUUCCCCCACUAUCAAAACAAAGUUUCAGUUCUCCCUACUCAGUAGGGAUCCUGGUUUUCUCUGUUUAAAACCCAAAUUCUCUGAUUAAAACCCCCAAAUCCAUGGUUUUCCAUGAAACACCACUAUAUAUAUCAGUAUCAGUUAGACACAAUUUUUUAUUGAUAUAAUUACAGAUUUAAAGCAAUUUGGAAGCUCACCAGUGCCUCAAUCAUUAUAAUAAAAUAAAUUCUAAAUACCUAUAUAUUUUGGCAUUUCAUUUUGGGGUUUUUUAUUAUAGAAAAAUCAGAGCUCCCCAUGCCUCAUUCGCUCAGACCAUGAGUCCAGUUGCAGCUGUCCCCCCUGUUGCUUUGUGGUGCUGAGCACCCCUGAUAUGCUAGUGCCCUGCCCAUGCCAUUGUCCCUCACUCCCAAGCCACAGUUCCCUGGCCCUGCUGGUGCCCCUCACUCCCAGCCCACAGCUCCCUGCUCCUCAGUUUGUGAGAAAGAGAGUGGGUAUGUGUGCACAUGCAACACGUGGGAGAGUUGUGAGGGGCACAGGCAAUGCAAAAGUGGGGGCAUGUGCCCCCUGAGAUUUCUGUACUCACAGCAGGGUGUGGGGCUGUAGCGGG